Molecule: transfer RNA, 88 nt
Filed under: Halomonas sp.
Lineage: Bacteria; Pseudomonadati; Pseudomonadota; Gammaproteobacteria; Oceanospirillales; Halomonadaceae
Also listed under: 1 other name
Description: tRNA-Ser
Rfam family: tRNA
About the family: Transfer RNA (tRNA) molecules are approximately 80 nucleotides in length. Their secondary structure includes four short double-helical elements and three loops (D, anti-codon, and T loops).
Source: RNAcentral
GGAGGGGUGGCAGAGUGGUCGAUUGCACCGGUCUUGAAAACCGACGAACCGCAAGGUUCCCAGGGUUCGAAUCCCUGCCCCUCCGCCA